UACGAGGGGGGCAAGCGUUGUUCGGAAUUACUGGGCGUAAAGGGCGCGUAGGCGGCCUGCUAAGUCGAACGUGAAAUCCCUGGGCUCAACCCAGGAACUGCGUCCGAUACUGGCUGGCUUGAAUUCGGGAGAGGGAUGCGGAAUUCCAGGUGUAGCGGUGAAAUGCGUAGAUAUCUGGAGGAACACCGGUGGCGAAGGCGGCAUCCUGGACCGAUAUUGACGCUGAGGCGCGAAAGCCAGGGGAGCAAACGGG
This 253-nucleotide ribosomal RNA is filed under the name uncultured bacterium. RNAcentral describes it as "partial 16S ribosomal RNA". It matches the Rfam family "Bacterial small subunit ribosomal RNA", at positions 524 to 776 of the family's 1533-position model. The record is from RNAcentral.